AAUUCUCAACUCUCCUCGGAUUCCAUCCGUAGGGUGAGCUUGGACUUGGAGGUUUCUGCUGGCGUUGGCCGGCUCCUCUUGAAAUCAUUAGCUUUGAGUUGAUCUUGAUGGCUUGACUGGUGUGAUAAACAUCUACGCCGAUUCGUGCCAUCCUGAGCGACGACGUCGGAGACGCUCUGGCUUAUAACCGUCUUCACUGAAGGACGACGCCCUGAAC
RNAcentral lists this unclassified non-coding RNA (217 nucleotides) under uncultured fungus. RNAcentral's name for it is "sequence contains ITS2". The record is from RNAcentral. Lineage: Eukaryota; Fungi.